Molecule: non-coding RNA, 75 nt
Organism: Streptomyces autolyticus
Lineage: Bacteria; Bacillati; Actinomycetota; Actinomycetes; Kitasatosporales; Streptomycetaceae
Source: Rfam
CUUGAUGGAGCCGAGCCACAGCGGACGUCCUUCGGGCCGGUCCUGGCCGUAGGUGGCCAGCAGCGCCUGCGCCUC